UCCUUGACUUCAGAUUGUGACUUCUUCC
Molecule: non-coding RNA, 28 nt
Filed under: Mus musculus (house mouse)
Lineage: Eukaryota; Metazoa; Chordata; Mammalia; Rodentia; Muridae
Source: RNAcentral